This 270-nucleotide ribosomal RNA is filed under the name uncultured bacterium. Its description in RNAcentral is "partial 16S ribosomal RNA". It matches the Rfam family "Bacterial small subunit ribosomal RNA", at positions 524 to 794 of the family's 1533-position model. The record is from RNAcentral.
UACAGAGGGUGCAAGCGUUAAUCGGAAUUACUGGGCGUAAAGGGCGCGUAGGCGGUUUAGUAAGUUAUGUGUGAAACUCUGGGCUUAACCUGGGACGUGCACAUAAUACUGAUAAACUAGAGUAGAGUAGAGGAAAGUGGAAUUUCCGGUGUAGCGGUGAAAUGCGUAGAUAUCGGAAGGAACACCAGUGGCGAAGGCGGCUUUCUGGGCUCAUACUGACGCUGAGGCGCGAAAGCGUGGGGAGCAAACAGGAUUAGAUACCCGAGUAGU